CCUAUCAGCUUGUUGGUAAGGUAAUGGCUUACCAAGGCUAUGACGGGUAUCCGGCCUGAGAGGGUGAACGGACACACUGGAACUGAGACACGGUCCAGACUCCUACGGGAGGCAGCAGUAGGGAAUAUUGCUCAAUGGGGGAAACCCUGAAGCAGCAACGCCGCGUGGAGGAUGAAGGUUUUAGGAUUGUAAACUCCUUUUGUUAGAGAAGAUAAUGACGGUAUCUAACGAAUAAGCACCGGCUAACUCCGUGCCAGCAGCCGCGGUAAUACGGAGGGUGCAAGCGUUACUCGGAAUCACUGGGCGUAAAGAGCGCGUAGGCGGGAUAGUCAGUCAGGUGUGAAAUCCUAUGGCUUAACCAUAGAACUGCAUUUGAAACUACUAUUCUAGAGUGUGGGAGAGGUAGGUGGAAUUCUUGGUGUAGGGGUAAAAUCCGUAGAGAUCAAGAGG
Molecule: ribosomal RNA, 450 nt
Filed under: Helicobacter pylori
Lineage: Bacteria; Pseudomonadati; Campylobacterota; Epsilonproteobacteria; Campylobacterales; Helicobacteraceae
Description: SSU rRNA
Rfam family: Bacterial small subunit ribosomal RNA
Source: RNAcentral